Molecule: ribosomal RNA, 733 nt
Filed under: Corynebacterium sp. enrichment culture
Lineage: Bacteria; Bacillati; Actinomycetota; Actinomycetes; Mycobacteriales; Corynebacteriaceae
Description: bacterial SSU rRNA
Rfam family: Bacterial small subunit ribosomal RNA
Source: RNAcentral
GACGAACGCUGGCGGCGUGCCUAACACAUGCAAGUCGAACGGAAAGGCCCUGCUUGCAGGGUACUCGAGUGGCGAACGGGUGAGUAACACGUGGGUGAUCUGCCCUGCACUUCGGGAUAAGCCUGGGAAACUGGGUCUAAUACCGGAUAGGAGCCAUUUUUAGUGUGAUGGUUGGAAAGUUUUUUCGGUGUAGGAUGAGCUCGCGGCCUAUCAGCUUGUUGGUGGGGUAAUGGCCUACCAAGGCGGCGACGGGUAGCCGGCCUGAGAGGGUGGACGGCCACAUUGGGACUGAGAUACGGCCCAGACUCCUACGGGAGGCAGCAGUGGGGAAUAUUGCACAAUGGGCGCAAGCCUGAUGCAGCGACGCCGCGUGGGGGAUGACGGCCUUCGGGUUGUAAACUCCUUUCGCUAGGGACGAAGCUUUUUGUGACGGUACCUAGAUAAGAAGCACCGGCUAACUACGUGCCAGCAGCCGCGGUAAUACGUAGGGUGCGAGCGUUGUCCGGAACUACUGGGCGUAAAGGGCUCGUAGGUGGUUUGUCGCGUCGUCUGUGAAAUUCCGGGGCUUAACUCCGGGCGUGCAGGCGAUACGGGCAUAACUUGAGUACUGUAGGGGUAACUGGAAUUCCUGGUGUAGCGGUGAAAUGCGCAGAUAUCAGGAGGAACACCGAUGGCGAAGGCAGGUUACUGGGCAGUUACUGACGCUGAGGAGCGAAAGCAUGGGUAGCGAACA